Molecule: ribosomal RNA, 367 nt
Filed under: uncultured Fidelibacterota bacterium
Lineage: Bacteria; Pseudomonadati; Fidelibacterota
Description: bacterial SSU rRNA
Rfam family: Bacterial small subunit ribosomal RNA
Source: RNAcentral
AGGUGGUGCAUGGCUGUCGUCAGCUCGUGUCGUGAGAUGUUGGGUUAACUCCCGCAACGAGCGCAACCCCUGUCCUUAGUUGCCAGCACAUAAUGGUGGGGACUCUAAGGAGACUGCCUGGGAUAACCAGGAGGAAGGUGGGGAUGAUGUCAAGUCAGUAUGUCCCUUAUGUCCAGGGCUACACACGUGUUACAAUGGCCGGUACAAUGGGCUGCAAUCCCGCGAGGGCAAGCUAAUCCCAAAAAACCGGCCCCAGUUCAGAUUGGAGUCUGCAACUCGACUCCAUGAAGGAGGAAUCGCUAGUAAUCGCGCAUCAGCACGGCGCGGUGAAUACGUUCCCGGGUCUUUGUACACACCGCCCGUCAAG